Bufo bufo (common toad) is the source of this 158-nucleotide long non-coding RNA. RefSeq lists it as uncharacterized. NCBI's taxonomy places the organism in Eukaryota, Metazoa, Chordata, Amphibia, Anura, Bufonidae. The transcript has 4 exons. The record is from RefSeq and is a predicted model, not a curated record.
AAAAAUUUCCCACAUUCUGAACAUGAAUAUGGCUUCUCUCCGGUGUGAAUUUUCUCAUGUUUAUUAAGGCUUGGUUUCUCCGUGAAAUAUUUUCCACAUUCUGAACAUGAAUAAGGCUUCUCUCCUGUGUGACUUCUCUUAUGGCCAAUUAAUUCUGA